Molecule: ribosomal RNA, 467 nt
Filed under: uncultured bacterium
Lineage: Bacteria
Description: partial 16S ribosomal RNA
Rfam family: Bacterial small subunit ribosomal RNA
Source: RNAcentral
ACGAGCGCUGGCGGCGUGCUUAACACCUGCAAGUCGCACGGAAAGGCCCUGCUUUUGUGGGGUGCUCGAGUGGCGAACGGGUGAGUAACACGUGAGUAACCUGCCCUUGACUUUGGGAUAACUUCAGGAAACUGGGGCUAAUACCGGAUAGGAGCUCCUGCUGCAUGGUGGGGGUUGGAAAGUUUCGGCGGUUGGGGAUGGACUCGCGGCUUAUCAGCUUGUUGGUGGGGUAGUGGCUUACCAAGGCUUUGACGGGUAGCCGGCCUGAGAGGGUGACCGGCCACAUUGGGACUGAGAUACGGCCCAGACUCCUACGGGAGGCAGCAGUGGGGAAUAUUGCACAAUGGGCGGAAGCCUGAUGCAGCAACGCCGCGUGCGGGAUGACGGCCUUCGGGUUGUAAACCGCUUUCGCCUGUGACGAAGCGUGAGUGACGGUAAUGGGUAAAGAAGCACCGGCUAACUACGUG